RNAcentral lists this long non-coding RNA (15353 nucleotides) under Homo sapiens (human). RNAcentral's name for it is "HSALNT0380624". The record is from RNAcentral. Lineage: Eukaryota; Metazoa; Chordata; Mammalia; Primates; Hominidae.
GAGCCACGGCGGCAGCGGCGCAGCAGCGGCAGCAGGAGAACCGGGGGAAUCGCGCUGCUGGGGUAAAAGCUGGAGCGAGGCGAAAGCGUGUAACGAUUGCACACGCACACACACACACCACUCACACGCACUCGCCGCCCGCCCGCUCGCACAGCGCUGGAACACGCGCGCCCAGACACGCACACACGCACGCACACACACUCGCACACACGCAGAGGCACGGGAGGGAAAGAAGCCGAUGAAUAAUUUUGCUAUUUUUUAAAAUACUGGCCGCCAUCAUCAAGCAGCGAGCAGCAGCAGAAGCGUUGAAGGGAGAGGAGGCAUCGGGACAGGCCCCUCUUAGGAGAGGAUUUAUAUCUAGGUAAGUGUUGGAGAUUUAAACCUACCCUUUGCGCCAUCAGUCUGCGCUCCAAUAAACUCCUGGAUGUGUCGUAUAUUUAAUAUCCCAGUCCGGAUAAGAAAGUGAUCUAGGCUGAAGAUUCCUUUUUUUUUUUUCCAAACCAAAGAGACUUCUCCCAAUUCUCCAAUAUGCUAUUUUUUAGGGGGGAAAAAAAGCCCAGUCUAGACAACGAAGAAUUUUUUUUUCUGUGAUAUUUCUUCUUUUUCUCUUUUUUCCUCUUCUUCCUCCUCCUCCUGAUCUUCCUCCUCCUCCUCCACCUCCUCCUCCUCCCCCCUCCCCUCCUCCUCCUCUUCGGUCCUCCUUUCCCCCUCUUUCUCUUCUCUUCCCCUCAGUUGGAAAAAAAAAGAAAGAAAAGAAAAAGAAGAAAAAGAAGAAAAAAAUUGUCAAGCCCCCGAACUGAAGGUUACGAGCGGCCCGUCAGCAGCCCACAUGUAACCGAACUGUCGUGUUUCAUGGCUUUUUGCCACUCCAGCUGUCAAUCAAAGCCCGGAAUGUCAAGGUAGUGAAUGAAUGAUGGUUGAUGAUGAUGAAGAGGAGGAAUCUUUCAGACCCGUUUUUUUCUUCCAGUAAAACUCCGCGAGGGGUUUCUGCUUCUUGAAUUUUUUCCUCCCCCCUCCCCCCUUUUUUAGCUUUGCCCCCGCGGUAUCUAUAAUACGAUCCUCUCUCUUUAAAGUAUUGUUCAAAGAAAGCAGUGAGAAAAAUCAAGAAAAAAAAAUGAAUAGUUUGCAAAAAUUGGACUUCCUCCCCCCCUUUCCUGGUAGGUAUUUUGUCUCUCCCUCUCUCUCUUUCUCGCUCGCUCGCUCGCUCUCACUCGCGCUCGCUCUCUCGCGCUCGCUCUCUCUCGCUCUCUUUCUCUCUCUGGGAGAUGAGUGAGUGUCAGUAGGUGUUGGCAGGUUGGCUGCUGCCUGGCUUAUUGAAGAGCCUCAGUUUGGCGGCGCGGGUCGGCGGCGGGAGAACGAAAUGACGGAACCCGGAAGUCGUGGUGGCCAUAGCCCGUCGUACGGCGGAGACACAUCCCGGGAGUGGGGAGCGGGAGCGAGGAGGAGCGCGCCGCGCCGAGCCUCUGAUAUGCAACGAGUGCGAUCGGACAGCCCCGGCUGGGGGGGUGGGGGAGGCGGGGGGGCGGGAGGGGGAGGGGAGGCUCGAGCCGGGCGGACCCGAGCAAAUCAGCAAGCCUGCUCCUCCACGGGGAUGGGGGACGGCGGGGGGGAGGAAAAGGAGAGUGUGUCUGUGUGUGUGAGUGUGUGUGUAUGUGUGUGCGUGCGCGCGUGUGUGUUGCGCGCGCGCGCGCGCGAACAGGGAGAGAGGGAGAGGGGGAGAGAGAAGAGGACAGGGAGAGCGCAGAGAGGAAAACUGCAGAAAACCACAGGGAAAGUACGGUACCGCCUCAGAUCUUUUCAUUUAAAAAAAAAAAAAAACUUACUUCUAGUUCAUUUUCCCAUCACUCCCGGCUCCUGCCUAACUGGGUCUUGCCGGGGACGUUUGGCAUGGCGCUCUAGCUUUUGUUCCUUUUAAUUCCGCGGCCUCCCUCUCCUCUGCCCGCCGAUUACAGCACCCCGAAGGCUUCCUGCUAACGUCCAAGGGCAGCAAGCUCUGCAGACGGUACCACUGCCGGGCUAAAUUUUUUAUUAAGUGGCACUUUCUUUUCUGCGCAGAUCCAGCAACCUUGUCAAUACUCAUUUUUUUCCAGGACCAGAAGAGACCAGCUUAACUCAGAGCACACUCCCUCCAAGCGGUGCGGACAAGGGGCCACCCCGAGAGUCUUUGGGGGCCGCGGCGGAAUCGGGAGGGAGGAAGUGAGGAGGCAGUCAUCUGGGUCCGAUGUAGCCAAAGGCGUGUGUGUGUGUGUGUGUGUGUGUGUGUGUGUGUGUGUGUGCGCGCGCGCGCCCGCGCGCCCGUGCGCGCGCGCGACUAGUGUGCGUCUCCAAAGUGGAUCUCACUCAGAGCUGGGAAGCACAGGAGGAAAAGACGGAGAGAGUGGGGGAGAAAGAAGUUGCCGGGCGAGGAGGAGUGGCCGGCGCUCACAGCCCAGCUUUGUUGUGGUCGCCCGAGGCGCAGCGGCGGGCCGCGGUAACGCCUGCUAAUGGCUGUGUUAAUUACACAGGGGCGAUUUCGCGGGGUCAGGGAGAUGGGGCCAGCUCCGAAAGAACUUUUCCAAAAAGGAAAAGGAAACGAAGGGAACUACCCCACACCGUUUGGGUGGAAACUAGUUGUGGCCGGUGCCCUGUCCUCCCUGGCCCGAGCUGCACCAGGCUUCACCUCUGCGCGGCUGGUUUCCCGGCGGCCGCGCGUCAAUCACUACGAGCCCGGAGUUGGGGGCGGAGCCACGGUCACCCCGCGCAAGCCUUGCCGCCCAGCAGCCCCCAUGCCCCUCGGCCCCUUGUGGCGCGGCCGGGCGGACAGGCGCUGGAAGCGCGUCCUCUCCCCAACUUCUCGCUCUCGCCCUCCCAGUCCCUGGCCCAGAGAGUGGAAAGCGGACUGUUGUUCUCCAACAGCCGCAUCCCUCCCCAACUUUGAACCCAUUCUGAGAAGUGGAGAGUAGUGUCUUCCGCGAGCCGCGUCUAACCGACUUUCCCGCGGAGGGAGGGUGGGAUGGGGGAGGUUGAUUAGAGAGAAUAAAGUACUCUGUGUGUGUGUUGUGUGUGAGAGAGAGAGAGAGAGAGCGAGAGAGAGCGGGGAGGAGGGCGGGUGGGAGGGCUCUUUUUUUUGGCCCCCGUUCCAUGUUCCCUGCUUCACUGUAAGCUUUCGAGCAACAGAAACUAGGCUAAGAUUGCAGCCUGCAGAGACUCCAAGCGGAGUCGGAGAAAUUUGGCCUCGUUUUAAUAGGGCUGAGGAAUGAACUCCGGAGGUCAAUAAAGCCCUCCAAAAAUGAUGAAUGAUUGAGCACCUGUGAUGAUGAUAGUGAUUACCAGAGCAAUUAAACAGUUUGAUUAAAUGAGCCAUCAUAACAAUGAUGUCUGCGGGAAAUCGGCCCUCACAUAUAAAGAAAGAUAGUGCGAAGGGGCUGGCAGAGGCGCGGAUAGCGCGACGCCAGGGAGAGGGGCUGCGGGCCGCGAGGUUUCUGCCCAAUGGCCCGAGCAGGGACGGCCAGACUCACGGAGCUUCAGGGAGGAGAGUGUAGCCCAGGUUUUCAGCCACUCUUUUUUGCCGGGCUUCAAGCCUGCUAGAGCCGACGGGUAGGAAAUCUGAAGGUUGGGGGGAGGGUACUUCCUCCACGUCCUCUUUUUUUUCCUAGAAGAACUCCAAGAUUAAAAGUAUCCUUAUUUGUUGCUGAGUUGCUCGUCGACAUUUAAGAGAAGGUGAGUAAAAAAGAAAAGAAGAUGAAAGAGAAAAGAAAAAGUUGGUCUCCAGAAUUUUAUUUCAAUCGACAGUUACGCGAAUUCAGUUUAGCCGGGACCGGGAGGUUUGAGAGUGCGGCGGGGUGGGGAGGGGAAAAAAACAAAAACGCUGCGGAGCGUUUUCGACUUUGCAAAGCUGUUGAUGUUGGUGGGUCCAAGUUCCCGGUGCAGCGCCGCUGGCUGAGAAAUUUGUACUCAGUUUUUACUCUUCUAAUUAUUCUUAAAUUCAAUUUAAGAAUUUAAGUUUAUCGUCGCCAAUAGGAUUAUUGUUGUUUUAAAUGUCUUGUUCAAUAAGUGCCAGUUACGUUUCUUUUUAAAAGAAAUUCCUCAGUGUCCUUGAUAAACCUUUUUUUGUAAAGAUCAACUUCAUGCGGAACCUCUGCCUUGCAGGGUUUAAACAUUCAACAUUGCUACCUUCUGUUUCUUUUUCUGUUUUUAUAGUGAUACUGUAAAGUGAGUUAGCAUCUCUAUAGCUUUCAUUUAGAAAAACUUAAGUCGCAUUUUUAGAAAAAUAUUCCUUCCCUUGCAGUGUGAGUAAAAACAACUCAGACAGAUUGAUGAUUUCUAUAUUUUCUUUUCUUUCUUUAUCUUCUUUUUCUUUUUUUCUUUUCUUUUCUUUUUUUUUCUUUUUUUUUGAGACGGAGUCUCGCUUUGUCGCCCAGGCUGGAGUGCAAUGGCGCGAUCUCGGCUCACUGCAACCUCCGCCUCCCGGGUUCAAGCGAUUCUCCUGCCUCAGCCUCUUGAGUAGCUGGGAUUACAGGGGCGCGCCACCACGCCCGGCUAAUUUUUUGUGUCUUUAAUAGAGACGGGGGUUUCACCAUAUUGGCCAGGCUGGUCUCGAACUCCUGACCUCCUGAUCCACCCGCCGCGGCCUCUCAAAGUGCUCGAAUUACAGGCGUGAGCCAUCGCACCCGGCCGAUUUCUAUGUUUUCAAACAAUUGUAAGCUAAUAAUGAGUUGAUUAUCUGGUGAUAAUCUUGGGUUUUACAAAAAAAGAAAAGUUUAAACUUUAUUUUCAUGUGUUUUUAUCAGAUGCAGAAGGCAUUUUUAACCUUAACGCCUUUCUCUGUCUCUCUCUUUCAUAUUCUUAACUUCUUUUGCAUUUUAUUGAAUACAUUAAAGCAAACAACAGGAACAAUAUGGUUAGGUGUAGGAGGGAGAGAGAAAUAUGACAUUUUAAGAUAUUGUCAAAAAGUCAUAUUUAACUUCAACGACUUUUAGUUAAAAAAGUGUGAGAGUGUUGAAAGUGCAUUCCUACUGGAGGAAAUCUAUGUCUUUUUAAAAUUUGCCAGUUGUCUCAGGGGAGAACCCAGAAUUUCUUUGAACGAAAGAGAUCUUACUGAUCUAGUUGCAUGUCACUUAUGAAACUGUUAGUUUAAAAUAGCAGUCCUAGUGUAGUGGAUUACACAUGAGGAGAUCAAGUUGGAGUCGAUUCAAGGUAUUGGUUCUUGGUCAGUCUGCUGAAUUCAAAACACUAUUACCUUUAAUCAGCAACUUGCGGGUGUUUUAUUAAUAGAGCUGAAAAAGGCUCAUCUAACAUAUAAGAAUUUCCUGGUUUCCCUCAUCCCCAAUUUUCCAGUCCAAUAGAAGCGAUUCCAAAGGAGUAGGGUACCCGCACUUACUGAUUUCCAUCCUGGUGGCAUUUUGCUAAUGCCCCAUUGUCAGCGUUGGCACUCCCACCCAGGCUUCCAGGCUCAUCUGCUCUCCCAUAUUUGGGGUGAAAGGAAAGUAGGUGGGGCAGGCCCGGGAGACAGGCACGAAAUGGGGGUCGCAGGAGGUGGCACACACCUCCGUCAACAGUCAGCUCCUUCUGCCCAGGCUGGAAAUGGUUUUAACAGGCGGUAAAAUUUCAUCUUGCGGUGUCAAAUUGGGGUCAUUUUGGGGUUAGAGUUCUCAGUGUCCGAGAGGAGCUGUCCAGCUGCGUGGGGACUCAUUAACUGCAAAAGAUCUGUUUCAGUAAAAACAAUUCAAAGACAAUCAGAAGGCUAAAGACCCUCUACAAAUCGCAUUUUACAAGUGCCCCAGAACAAAUAUGGAUGGUGAAACCUAUUUCUUCAGAAUCCCAAAUCAGCUACUUAGCUCUGGAGUGGGGGUGGGGGUACUGCAUAAAAAAGAGGUGAAAAGGAGGGGACCAAGCGGGUGGGGACCAGUGGAAGGGGGAAUCGGGCCUCUCAAAUUUAAGAGUCUGUUUUUAAUCACCUCUUUCUUAUUGAAGCAGCCCCAAGAGUUCUGAAAACUGCUACUUUUCUAUUUUUCAUUUUCUUUUUUUGAGCCAACAUGGAAUGCUAUUAUAGGUAACAUUUAAGAUUUAAAAGGAAUAAUUGAAUUCCACUAUAGUCCCUUAAUUUGAAGGGCAUUGGCUUUAUGGGGAGUGUUUAAUUUGAACCAAGAAUUUAUGAACCCAGACUCUAGGUGAAUUUGCCCACACUCCUUAAGGAGCUUGUGUAGCUGUUUCUUUUUCUUUUCCUUGAAAGUUAUAGCUUCUUAGCACAGAUAACUUCAAAUUCCUCAGAACUGAGAAGUCCAAAGUGUUAAUCUGUGUAUUAAAAUCGCCAGGUUUAAAUCCUUUUUGUCUUCUUACAACAGUUAGAACAAUUGACGCCUUGCUAGAGAAGCAAAUAAGUCCAACCUUAAUCUUAUCUGUAACUUUAUUUAAUGUUUUGAUUUGGAAUAUUUUGGAUUAAGCAUAUCUUUAAAAACUCUGUAAGGUUAAUUUUUAUUCCGGGAGGGAAGUUCUCUUUACUGAUUUUGAAAAAAGACAUGAAUUAUUACUUUGAUUUUCAAAAAUUCCUUCAGGUAAAAGGAAAAUUCAGGUUUAAAAUGAGAAGCUAGAUAUGUGAAAUGCCAGAGAUUUUAGGAUAAAACCAAGUCAAUACUUAAAAGUAAAGUAUCAUUUGAAAGAAAUUUUAUUUCUUGCAUUACUGAACUGAGCAAGUAACAGUGAUCAAAAAUAUGUUAUUCUCUCUCCAUCUCUCUCUCUCUCUGGACUCCACUUCUGUCACUAGGUCUUCUCUUUCCAUCCCCAGCACUUUUCUUUGGGUUCUGAAUGACACAGUGAUUUUUUUUUUUUGUAGUCUAGUUAUUUUCUCCAAGCGUCUCAGAGUAUUUCUAAAUUGUUAUUCAAGGAGUUUGAUUUCAGCCCUGCAGAAACAGCCCUGAGCCCAGCAUCGCUGGGACAAAGGCAGAAGGGGCUAUCUUCUGUUCAAGACCUGCUGGCUGACAGUUGGAAUUUUUGAUAUAUAUUUUAUUUGGCGUUUCCAAUAACGUGUUUGUCUUUCCCUCUCCACCCCUUGCAGCCAUCUAUUACUUUUAAAACAUCCCUUCUCCAUAAACAUCGGCUCAUCCUUGUGAACUAUUCUUGACCUUCCCAGCAGUGUAACCAGCAGCUCUGAAAGUUGGCCUAGAAAUAAUUCCACUGGCUUCCUUACCUGUUAACUUUACUCACUCUUCCUAGCUGGGAUCAACAGAAGGAAGGGGACUUUUUUGUUUGCUUUUGUUGUUGUUGGUGGUGGUGGUGGUGGUGGUGGUGGUUUUUGGUUCUUUGGUCCUUUUCCCACUUAAACUUUCUAUAAUGAUUUAUUCUCCGCCUCCUCCCAUUAAUAACGUUUAAGCACCCCACACUUUAUUUUUUAAAUAAAAUGGAGUAAAAUUAUUAUACUUUUUUCCUUUAUGCCCCCUUUUCUUUUAUUUCUCCCAAUUUUAGGGGCUUCACCAUCUCAUAGAAAGGACUUCAAUAAAUAGCCCUCUAGCGCUAUCUGGCGGGGCUCCAAACACGACGUGCGCUUGCUCUCACUGUUUCUUCCUCCUUCCCGCGCUCUCUUCUUUCCUCUCUUUCUUCCUCUCUCCUGCUUUUUCUCUCGUCUCUUCCGCUCGAUUGUUUUCCUCUUUUUUUCUGUCCUCCUGCGGCCUCUUGUCUAGUUCCUACCCCUACUUCAGCGCAGGCGGCUUGGAAAGCCCCGGCCAGAGGCUAGUAACUCUCGCAAGUGGGAGAUGCUCUGGCGACGGAUCUCUCUUUUCUGAUCCCUCCUCCCCCUUACCCAGCGCGGAUCACACACAUCCUUUGCCUUUGAUUAGCAUCUUAAAGUUGCUUAGCGUGCCGCUUAAGUCCCAGCGUCUCAGCUGGCGGUGGUUUGGAGAGGCUUAAAACUGCAUUCAUGAAGUUUGGAGGAAAGAAAUCAGACACUGGAAUUCAGGGCUAGGAGCCCAGCUCAGUUUUAGGUCAGAAGGCCGAGUCUCAGUGCGAGAUUGAGGAAGGGUCGGGGCUUAACGGGGGAGGUGGGGGUGGCGGGGGGGGGAACAGCACGGCGCGGCGCCUAGCCUGCGAGAUGGAGUCGGAGUGGGGGUGCGAGCGGUCCUCCACCGCCUCUGCCCGAUCCGUACCUCACAAUGGACUGCUCGAGUUUGUAUCUAGGCCUGUCCAGGAUUGUUUACUCCUUCAAUUAAUCAGCUUUAUCUCUUUUCCCCCUCCCCCCACCUCCACCAAAUCUGGAGAGGAGUGGGAAAGAACUGGAAAACUCACAGGGCAAAGAGAGAAAGCCAACAGUCAUAGUGCGGGAGGAGGCACGCCUGGGAUGCAAUACCCAACAGUCUCCUCCCUGCUUUCCUGCAAUUUGCAGGUCAUUGUCUUUCUUAUUUGUAGCUUUUUUUUUUUUUCUUCAGUAGCCGGUAAACAAUCGAACGCCGGGUAGGGAGGUCAGAGGGGAUGGGGCUGUGGGAGAGAUUCUACUCAGGCUAGGUGCUUUAGAUUUGGACCUGGCUGUGUCCCUACUUUAUUAAAAUUCUCAUGUGGCGCGCGCUGUCUUCUCUCUUCUCUCUCUCUCUCUCUCACACACACACGCACAUACACACACAGCCCGAGAGAAAUUUCCAAUCUUUGAGCAAAUCUCUUCCAUCUAGUCCUUGAAACAGAGGAAAGGACAUGGGACCUGAAGGAGAGUUAUGAUUGAAUUUUCUAAAAUUUAGUUUUGACAUUGCAAAGUAAAAGUGAGGACCGUAUUCCCAAUACAGACCCAGAGGGUGGUUAUUUCAGGUGAGGGGACCUCAGCCUGUGACGUCUAUGAUCAACCAGACAAAGACCCCUUCCUAAAUCUGAAGUCCCACCCCCACCCGUGGCAAACAUGGAAUACAAGGGAGGGGAAGGAUGGCACAAUAGUGGGUUCUGUUUUCCAAGAACUGCCCCCCACCUCCAUUGCAGAAGGAAAAAAAAGCACGGUUCGGGUGUAAUUAAUUGGGGACUGUUAUUAGGUCAUCAUUAGCCAAGGUACAAAUAAUAGCAGCACAUUUUUACUUAAAAUUGACCAGCCCCAGAGUGAUAGAUCGAUUUGGAGUAUAAAAAGAUGUAUCAAAACAUCAAUGUCGAUUAUUUGAAAUAUUGUAGUCGAAUUUUUUUUAUUGCUUCAUCGGUUAAGUGUCUGAAAAUGCAGUGUUCAAACAUAUAUUUAUGUUGUCAAUACUGUCAGAACUGUCAGUUUUACUAUACUGGAUUUGUACUAUAUUUCAAAUAUGCUAAUUUACAUAAAAUGCCCACCCUAGGAUUCCCCCCCUACACCCACCCCAUCUCUGGAAAAUCCGUGUCAGUUUCUUCAAAGGAUUCAGCAAUCUUUGCCUAAGCUAAAGUGUGCACUACCUCUUUUACUCAAUUUUCCACAUCGGAUUACAUGUCUUUUUCACCAUCUCUAACUUUCAAAGAGAUCCUUCUUCCUUUCUCCCCAAUUCUGCCUACUCUAACCUCUUCUUCAAAAUAGUACUGAGGCACUUGGAAAGCUUCGAAUUUAAAUAUCCACAUCCCAGCUCCAAAUAUACCAUUGGAGUAAAAAAACGGAAAAACUGGACUUGAGUGUACUUGGCCGCACUCGGGUAAACCAGGCUUCACCAGGUAGACGUUCUCAUACCGUAAGGGUCCAUCAUCAAAUUACCUGGCAGAUUGAAAUCUUCCAGGGAAAAUGAAUUUGGAAAUGUAAACACCUUUUCUUUCUUUUUACUUAAAAGCCUCGAUGGUAGAAAAAGAAAUAAUACUUAUAAAUGAUCGGCACGUUUUAACUUUAAAAGCUUUUGAACUCAAGUGAAAGACACACGUUGGAAACAGAAUUGAUAGUUUUAAUUCUACCCAUUUUCACCUGGCACAUCAGAUCAGUGGCAAUCAUUUAUUUUAUGGGGUGUGGAGGGGAAAGGGAUAGAAAGCGGAUAGAAAGCUAGAAUCCACUGAAGUCCCUGUCCUAAAAAUCUCAGAGAAAUUAAAGACUUAUUGAAACACAAACAUUCCAUCGCUCCAUACUCUCCGUCCAGAUGAAUUGAAACUUAUAAAUCCACGCUCUCCCCAAUUUUAUGUUUUUUAUUUAUUUUUUUUCAGGGUUUGAUAGGAAAGAUACCCAAGUCUGAUAGGGAAGACAGGGCCACUUCUGGACUAGCUGUGAGGAUGUGUUUUCAUUUCCAUAACACUGAAGCACUUUCUGUAAACCUUUUGAUGUACUUAAAUAAGUCUAUUUGGACAUUUAAAGAAGCUACACAUACAAACAUAGCUUGGCUUUUUGCCGUCAAUCCCAGCAUUAAAAAAACAUUCAUAAUCUAACUGAGAAGCUCUUUCAUACCCAUCCUUCUUUCAAAUAAGUAAAUAAAUAAAGAAAUAGAAGUGCAAACCAAAGAAAGUUUCCAGCGUGCAUCUGUACGUCUUCGUGUGCGAGUUUAUAAACAACUUCCAGUCGGUACUUGGGUGUUACCUCCCUCCUGCCACACACCCCAAGGCAGAGGCAUCGAGGGAUCGCCCCCAGAGAGCUGUGUUUACUUAGCUUGUUUUAAAAAAAAUCUCGCCGCCAUGUAUGACAAGUGUUACUGCAAGAAAUUCAUCAGCCUUCUACAGAUACUUCCAGUUUUGCUGUAAUGAUCUGCAGAAGAGAACUGCCAUCACUUUCUCACAUCCCAAGGUGUUGCAGGAACUCAGAGAGAGGGGAGAGUGGCUGAAACGCUUAAUUACCGGAGGCGAAGGAGGGGCGCGCGGGGGACCGAAGGAGAGGGGAGUGAAGAAGGAAGGUCCUUUACCAGGCUUGUACCUGGAGAAAGCUUUGAAUCGCUUCUCUGCUAUAUUUGGAAAAGGUAUGCUUGCUUUUUAAAAAAAUGCCUUUAGGGCAAAGUGAUACCCUUGUGUAAUAAUUAACUCAGACAAUAAAAAUAAUUGGAAAAUCAGUUGGAAUUUCUGAGUUUUUAAUUACGUUUAAUUUCGUACUAAGCCGUAAAAUUACGAAUGCCCCUCAAUUAAACACUCUCCUCUUGUAAAGCGUUUAACAACAAUUAUUCCUUAAUCAGUCUGAAUGUGAGUCACAAAUGGUGCUUUUCCACAUCAAAGAGACGUCCUUCCACGUUACCUUUUAGUCAUAAGUAAGAGGAUUAAUUCCUAUAAUUAGAGGGAUAAAUAUGUGCAUAAAUAUAUCUCUCACCCUCUCCUUAAAAAACAAAACAAAACACUUUCACUCUGUGUGAUACGUGGCCGGCUAUGGUAGGGUAAGUGUUUGUAAUCGUCUGCCUCUGCCCGGCAUCCCUUUGCUGACGGGUGACUGGAACGGAGGAGACGCCGCGCGAAGCGCAGGGCCCCAGAGGGACACAUGCACAGAGGCGCACACACGGGUCAGGCAGGAGGCGCAGAGUUCGGGGGCCCGGGACUCCACCAAUUCCAGUGCGAUCCUCCCCAGACAAUAACCCACCUCCCACCUUGGCCCUGCCCAGCGCAGCAAGACAGUUGUCUCCCUGUCGGUCUGCUUGUCCAGAAGAGCGGGGUCCCUGCCCUAAGCCCCAGCUCCAGCUUGACUCUUCAGGCUACAAAUAAAAAUUGAGCGUGACCUUUUAAAACUCCAGUGUGAAUAUCUCAUUUACCUAAUGACUUUAUGUCACCUAGGAAGAAGGUCAAUUUCCUCUUAACCUUUUCCCCGCUGCUGCAGUAAGCAUUCUUCCCUAAUCAAUGGUGGCUGGAAUAAUCAAUUCCCAUUUUAUGAUCGCUGACAAACUCAAUCUCAGGGCGGGGUGUGAGAGCUGGGGGUGAGCUGGCUCGGGCCGGGACAGAGGUCUCUCUGCGUACGCCCCGCUCCGCCCGGCGCCAAGGGAAGCCGCUGUCUCUUCCGUCGAGUUCUGAGACCUUGGCAAACUUCCCUCCCCCAACCGCCGGCGUGACUUCUGAGUUGUCACUAAUCCGAACCUGAUAUUCACCAGAGCUCCUUCGGUCACCGACAACGCUCCCCGCUGCUGCCGCGGCCUCCCGCCCGCCCUCCUCGGCGUGUUUUCAUUUCUAAGUCUACGGGCAGGGAUUGCCCCGACCCAGUGUGUGUGUGCGUGUGUGUGUGUGCGUGGUUUCAUUUACAUUUUAAAAAUCAUUUUUGCGUUCUUCAGCGUGGAUCUCAGCACUUUCCCUGUGUCUCAGGCCGACUAACUUUGCAUAAACAAAGCAACAACCGAAGCUCAUAGUGGGUGAAAUCUUGCGGGGAAAUGAAGGCAACCUGGUGGAGUUCGAUCUCUCUCUCUCUCUCUCUCUCUCUCUCUCUCUCUCUCUCCCUCUCUCUCUCUCCCUCCUCUCUCUCUCCCUUCCCCACAUUUCUUCCUCUUCUUUUACCUUCUUCCUCCACUCCCCCCUCCACCCCAAAUUCAGCUAUCCUAAACCAUAGGUUUAUCAGAUACCACUUCCUCCUCUUUUUAAAUUCUUCAGACCUGCCCCAGUCUGGGGAAAUUACUGGGCAAAUUACUAGAUCAGAGCUAUUUUGAAAGCUAAUUUGGGGUAAACUCACCGUUCCUUAUCUUUGCAGGGUUUAAAUAUGAGCCGCUCUCUGGUUCUAAUCCCUCAUAAAGUAGAAAUUGACUUUUACACAUGCAGGGCCUAUUUGAAGGGGGGAGGUCUCUUAACACUGGUUCACCACGGGUCACUGGAAACUUCUCCCCCUUAUUCCACCCUAAUCCCGUUUUCACUCACUACCAAGACACUGAAGCCGCUGAUGAUUAAAGCAAUCUCAAAAGUCUUGCUUAGCUAGGGUUCAAUGGCAGGGAAAUCAUUUUCCUCAAAAAAAGACGUUCUGUAGCCAGGUUUUUGAAGAUUUCCUAUGAAGAGUCAAUCUCUCAAUACUGUAUUACCCAGUUAGUUAAAAGGGAACCCCAAACUGAACUUUCUCUCCCAGAGCGCACUCUCAGGCCUGCCUUGCCUAUGGGGAUAAUCUUUAAAAAGGUAAUCAAACCAUUCCUUUUCUUCAUUCACAGAUCCUCUUUACUUGUAGGCAGACAUUCUGCUAAAAUCGGAAAGUUUUCCAAAUAAUCAAAAACAAACAUAUAACUCUUCCACUUUUUAUCCUUCACUCUGGUGUAAAAAGCAAACAAACAAAAAGGGCCUUUGAGUUCGAGGGGAGGGAUAUCUGGGCCACUGUUCACCCAUGAAAGCUUCCUACAUCCUGUUAGUAAUGAAGAUGGCAAAUCAUGGCACUUGCCUGAAACUUUCAGGUUCCAUUCUUGCAUUGAGCCUCAAGGUGCUAGAGUGUGAGGGGCAGUGAGAACAUGCCAGGUUCAGGACCUGACCUGGGACAGAAGCACUGAGUUCUCAGUAUUGUCAUUUUCCUCUUGCUUCAUACCAGGAAGUAGUUUUGCAACUCACACUGAGUUAGAUUCGAGAUUUAAACGGUUGUCGAAGGUUGGUCCAGCCCUGAGUCACAAUUUAUAACACCCUGGCUUUUAGAAGAUUUGCCUCAUAUUCCCAACAACUGAGUUACAGACCAUCUUAGACUACAACCUGUUUGUAGGCCAAAAAGUGCUUGUACAUACAGGAAGAGUUUCCCAUUACUAAGAGUACUGAAUGGGUUUUUUAAAUCUCUAUUUGACAGAGGAGCAGACAGAUUGGGGAUAGGGCCCUUGACCUCAGAUAAUUACUUCAGUCGUCCCUCUUCAGCAAAUUUAAUUCUCACGCAAAGAGUAAUUAACAACCUCUGACUAUUCUAUGAGAAUUUCCUUUCCUUUUCUUAUCUUAAGGACCCUCAUAGGAAUAUUGAAGAAUAUGUUUAAUGGUAGUUUUUAGUUUCACUGCAUUUAAACAUUUUGCCUUCUGCUCACUUCUUCCAUAGUCUACUGGAACACAUUUAACAGAGUCUUGGGCUGUGUUCUGACUCCAGCACAUGAAAUUGGAAAAUCCAGUCAUCAAUUUACUGCCCUUCCUACUCUCCACCUUGACCCCAAGCAAAGCUAUUCACUAGACAACUCUUCGUCAAUGGAAAAUUCCUUAAGUUUGCUUAAUGAGGAGAGAAUGUCAGAAGAAAGAAAAAAUUUUAAUAGUAAAAAAUGCCAUUCUCUCCUUUUGACUGCCUGACAACUUUGUCUCUACAAGUGUCUCAUUCAGGGUUACAAAUCAAAAUUACAUGUCAGGAUACAAGCCACAGUAUUGGAACAGGAAGAAUGAGCACACAGACCACUAGCUUUUCAAAGGCGACUGAGGUCUCUGCAAGGCUCAUGUCCUAAAUGGAGAGACAUCUUAUUCAAACAUCUCUAAGGGAGAGGGUUGAAUCAGAUCACUUCUGAGGCUGUUUUUAACCCUAGAAAGACAAAAAGGGACUCCAAGGGCUAAAAAGCCAUCAAGAGCUCAGGCUCUGGAGUCUGACGGGAAGGGGCUGAAUACUAGGUCUGGCCUGUGCUGAUUGUGAACUCUUAGUAGUCACCUGACUCCUCUAAACUCUACUAACCUCAUGCAUAAACUCAGCAUAACAAUGGUUGAUAUUACUGGACACAUUUGUCAGCCCCUGCAGGUCCACCCUUUACUUUCCCCCUCCUGGUUUGUGCCCCUGAAGGCUGGUACGGAUGGUUUUAGAAUGGCCCUUGUUUCCUCUUGGGCUUGCCUAGAGUGGGCAGAGCGAGGUCUGGGUGCUGAUUCCCAGGGUCCCUGAGGGCUGGCUGCAUUCCAGCCACAGCUCAAGCAGUCUUCUUCCCAGAGUUCCAUUUCUGGAUUUAGGUAACAAUGUCCUUCUCCAGUACUAGCCUUGGGGCAGUGUACUGUCCCUCGUGGUUUCCUAACACCCUGCUCACACCUUUUUAAUAAAGUUCCUUUAUUAAGCUCUCCUCAAAUUACCCAAUUUGAUGUGUACCAUCUGUUUCCUGCUGGACCUUGACUGAUACACCUUAUAAACGUGUUUAGAGGAUUAAAAUUAAAUGAGAUAAUGCAUGUAAAGCACAUAGUGCAGUUCUUUGCAUAUAGUAAAAGCUUAAUAAAUAGAGCUUUUAUUUAUUUUUACAAUUAUCAUUUUGUGCAACCCUUUCAUUUUAUAUAGGAGGAAAUGGAAACUCAGAACUGUUAGGAGAAGCAUUCAAAGUCUAAUUAACUGAAGGUAGUAACAAUCCUGGGACCAAAUCCCUGAACUGCCUGCUUGAAGUUCAUUGUUCUUCCCUCUGCAUCUUGUUGAGCAAAACAGAUGAGAAAGGAGGGAACUCUUAUUUUCAUAGAUGUUGGAAAAAGGGUUAGACGAGCUAGAGGCAGAGGUGUAGGAGGUAAUAAGCAUUUUCCAUGUAUCAUUGGGCUUGUCCCUGCUAAAUUACUGCUGAAAUAAAGGAAUGCCAUUGCAAUUUAGAAUCCAGUGAUUUCAAUAACAAUAAAAUGGGUAUGUAACAGGGGGC